AUACGUAGGGAGCGAGCGUUGUCCGGAAUUACUGGGCGUAAAGGGCGCGUAGGCGGCGCUUCAAGUCGUCUGUCAAAUGGGAGGGCUUAACCCUUUUUCGCAGACGAAACUGGAGAGCUUGAGAAGCAGAGAGGCAGACAGAAUUCCUGGUGUAGCGGUGAAAUGCGUAGAUAUCAGGAAGAAUACCAGUGGCGAAGGCGGUUUGCUGGCUGCAUAAUGACGCUGAAGCGCGAAAGCCAGGGGAGCAAACGGGAUUAGAUACCCCGGUAGUCCUGGCAGUAAACGAUGUAUGCUGGGUGUGAGACUAGCGAUAGUUUCGUGCCGAAGUUAACGCGAUAAGCAUACCGCCUGGGGAGUACGGUCGCAAGAUUGAAACUCAAAGGAAUUGACGGGG
RNAcentral lists this ribosomal RNA (394 nucleotides) under uncultured bacterium. RNAcentral's name for it is "partial 16S ribosomal RNA". It matches the Rfam family "Bacterial small subunit ribosomal RNA", at positions 523 to 918 of the family's 1533-position model. The record is from RNAcentral.